GUGAGUCGGCCUCGCCAGUGCGCAUGCGCGAGGCCCGAGCCGCCGCUUUGGUCACAGUGACCGCCACCGUUGCCCGGGUAUGGGUCCCUGAGACUUGGCGAAGUAGGAGCCCUGUGUGAUCGUGCGUCAGAGUCGGGGCUGAGACCAGCCCUGGCCAGGGCAGUUACCAGGACGGUCUCCGGAGGCCGGGAUUCGCGGAGGGUCCACCAGCAGGAAGAAACCCCAGGAGGAAGAAACCUCAGACAGAUCGCCGGGGAGGCAGCGCGGGAUCCCAGCCUCAGGCGUGCGCGGACGGUGUGCGGAGUCUAGCUUUGUACCAGGCUGCAGUGCAGUAGUGCCAUCUCAGCUCACUGCAACCUCUGCCUCCUGGGUUCAAGCGAUUGUCCUGCCUCAGCCUCCCGAGUAGCUGGGAUUACAGGCACAUGCCACCACACCCAGCUAAUGUUUGUAUUUUUAGUAGAUACGGGGUUUCAUCAUGUUGCCCAGGAUGGUCUUAAUUUCCUGACCUCGUGAUCCGCCCAUCUCGGCCUCCCAAAAUGCUGGGAUUACAGGCAUGAGCCACCAGAACCGGACAUGCUUUCCUUAAAAGCUAAAUAUUUUAGGCUUGUGUGCCAUUAGGCUCUGUUACAACUACUUAAUUCUGCUUUUGUAAUUCUAUAGCACCCAUUGAUAAUACAUAAACAAAUGAGCAUGAAUGUGUCUCAGUAAAAAUUUGUUCACAUAAACAGGCAGUCCACCCAUGAAGCUAUAGCUUGCUGACCCCUUGUUUAAACAAUCAAUUGAAUUCAAACAGAAAUAAAAGGAUCUUAUAUAUUUAACCAUGUUGAUACCAUUUCCAGUGCUUUUCAUUCUUCUAUGUAGAUCCAAAUUUCCUUUUGAUAUUAUUUUACUUCUGCCUGAAACUUUUUCUUUAACAUUUUUUAUAGUGUUGUUUUACUGGUGAUGAUUUCUUUCAGGUUCUAAGUGCCUGAAAAAAUCUUUAUUUCACCUACAUCCUGAAAGAUAGUUUCUCUGAGUCUACAAUUCCCAGCUGACAAUGUUUAUCUUCCAGUACUUUAAAGAUGUUGCUUCAUUAUCUUCUAAUUUUCUUUGUUUCUAAUAAAAUGUUUGCUGGCAUUUUUUGUUCCUCUGUGCAAACUGUGUUUUUGUCAUUGGCCACUUUGAGAAUUUUUCUUUAUCACUAGUUUUAAGCAAUUUUAUUUUAGUGUAUUUUGUGCACAAGACAAGGAUGCCCUCUCUCACCACUCCUGUUCAACAUAGUAUUGGAAGUCCUUGCCAAAACAGUUAGGCAAGAGAAAGAAAUAAAGGGUACCCAAAUAGGAAGAAAGGACGUCAAACUAUCCCUGUCUGUAGAUUACAUGAUCCUAUAUGUAGAAAACUUUAUAGGCCCAAAAGCUUAAGGCCCGAAAGCUCCUUAAGAUGAAAAACACCUUUGGCAGAGUCUCAGGAUACAAAAAGAACAUACAAAAAUUACUCGCAUUCCCAUACACCAACAAGAGUCAAGCGGAGAGCCAAAUCAGGAAUGCAAUCUGAUUCACAAUUGCUGCAAAAAGAAUCAAAUACCUAGGAAUACAGCUAACUAGUGAGGUGAAAGAUCUCUGUAAGAACUAAAAACACCAAAGAUAUCAGAGAGGAUGAAACAAAUGAAAAAACAUUCUAUGCUCAUGGAUAGGAAGAAUCAAUAUCAUUAAAAUGGCCAUAUUGUCCUUAUUUUCAAGUAUGCUAUUGCACUCUAUGACUGAUCCAAAC
RNAcentral lists this long non-coding RNA (1749 nucleotides) under Homo sapiens (human). RNAcentral's name for it is "HSALNT0149768". The record is from RNAcentral. Lineage: Eukaryota; Metazoa; Chordata; Mammalia; Primates; Hominidae.